This 69-nucleotide transfer RNA is filed under the name Marmota monax (woodchuck). Its description in RNAcentral is "tRNA.Ala". The record is from RNAcentral. Lineage: Eukaryota; Metazoa; Chordata; Mammalia; Rodentia; Sciuridae.
GGGCUGGAGCUCAGUGGCAGUGCACUUGCCUAGCAUGUAUGGGGCCUGGGUUCCAUCCUCAGCACCACA